RNAcentral lists this unclassified non-coding RNA (292 nucleotides) under Hevea brasiliensis (rubber tree). Lineage: Eukaryota; Viridiplantae; Streptophyta; Magnoliopsida; Malpighiales; Euphorbiaceae. The record is from RNAcentral.
UCACCAUCAUGUUGUUCAAUUGAUCGACAUUCAGACAUCGAACUGGUAUUGUCAACUGUGUCCAUGACAGCAGCACCACUUCCCUCUUUAGCACUGGACUUGCCAUUCCACGGCUUGCUUGAUUUACCAUCAUCACCUGAAUCUGACUUGCUAUUCAGUUGCUCCUUUGAAUUUCCGCUUGGAUCCAAACUAUUGUUAGGAACCCCAUCACUCGCUCCUGAUUUAGUGCCCGACUCACCACUGUUCAUGUUAGAAGCGCUUACACCAGUUGCAUUAUGAGUUACUGUCCUUG